Molecule: ribosomal RNA, 253 nt
Filed under: uncultured bacterium
Lineage: Bacteria
Description: partial 16S ribosomal RNA
Rfam family: Bacterial small subunit ribosomal RNA
Source: RNAcentral
UACAGAGGGGGCAAGCGUUAUUCGGAAUUAUUGGACGUAAAGGGCGCGUAGGCGGCUUGGCAAGUCCGUCAUGAAAUGUACCGGUUCAACCGGGGCACUGUGUCGGAAACUGCCUGGCUUGAGGUCGAGGGAGGAGAGUGGAAUUCCUGGUGUAGCGGUGAAAUGCGUAGAUAUCAGGAGGAACACCGAUGGCGAAGGCAGGUCUCUGGGCCACUACUGACGCUGAGAAGCGAAAGCAUGGGGAGCGAACAGG